GCCCCGAUGGCGGAAUUGGAAGACGCACCGGCCUCAGAAGCCGGGGACGAAAGUCAUGAGAGUUCGAGGCUCUCUUGGGGCCCCA
This 85-nucleotide transfer RNA is filed under the name Variovorax paradoxus. RNAcentral's name for it is "tRNA-Leu". It matches the Rfam family "tRNA". Rfam says of the family: Transfer RNA (tRNA) molecules are approximately 80 nucleotides in length. Their secondary structure includes four short double-helical elements and three loops (D, anti-codon, and T loops). Further hydrogen bonds mediate the characteristic L-shaped molecular structure. tRNAs have two regions of fundamental functional importance: the anti-codon, which is responsible for specific mRNA codon recognition, and the 3' end, to which the tRNAs corresponding amino acid is attached (by aminoacyl-tRNA synthetases). tRNAs cope with the degeneracy of the genetic code in two manners: having more than one tRNA (with a specific anti-codon) for a particular amino acid; and 'wobble' base-pairing, i.e. permitting non-standard base-pairing at the 3rd anti-codon position. The record is from RNAcentral. Lineage: Bacteria; Pseudomonadati; Pseudomonadota; Betaproteobacteria; Burkholderiales; Comamonadaceae.